CAGGAAGUGCUACAACCUGGAAAAUGAAUCAGUGGGUCAGUGCUGUCAUGCUGUGGACAGAGAUUAAUGAAAGAGGCCUCUUCUGCAUGUUCAACCUGUCAUUUGUUACUAUGGACAGACUCUUGACUGCUCUGUUUAUCUGUAACCAUGUCUUGACACGCCAUCAGGUUAAAUGUUAACUCACGUUGCCUGGCAGGUGAAACACACAAAGUCUGCAAAAAUCUGAAUCAACAAAACCUUGCUAACUGUGACCAUGCUGAAGUAUGUUCGCUGUACCUGUACCAAUGCCAACAGGAAGUGCAAAGUGUUGUCAUAGAAAUCAGAGCCCUGACUUCCACAACAGUGUCAUAGGAAUCGUACUUAGGCAGGAGAUUUUACUGAUGCAUUCCUAAAGAGCACAUUACUGCCUUUGGACAACAUCUGCUUAUACUGAGAUACUUUGCUAACUUUUUUGAAGGCCCCAUAGAGGAAUCUCUGGAUUGUAUUAUGGGGUGCAACACAAGUAAAGGUACUCAAGCCACAGAUCCAUCCAAAAAACCUAAAGACAGACCCAAAUCUGCCGACUCAUCGGACAAAGAAGAAGAGGACCAUGUCAGUGAAAUCUCACACACAGAGAAUAACGAAGUGGAGACAGAAGACAGCUGAAAAUGUAAAUUUUUUCUAGUGUUACCUUCCUCAAGCUUCUAUGUUGCCAUUUCUAUUCGGUCCAGCUGUGAUCGGCUGAAGUUUCCAGAAGAGUGCAAGGAGAUCUGCACCAGCCUGUUUCUUUACAUGAUGUCUAUUUAUAUACACAUAUUCUCAUCUCAUCACGUCAUCUCUGUCCAUCAUAACUUCUUCAAUACCUUCUUUCUGUAUGUAUUUUUGGUUCCUUGUAUGACCAGAGGUUAAAGAUUCAUUGUUAUUGUGAUAUUAGCAGAUCUUUUCUUAUAUUAUUAGCCGAUUCUAUUCUUUAAGAAUGUAAAUAAAUAUUCUUAAGAAAU
Long non-coding RNA from Cyprinus carpio (common carp), 980 nucleotides. RefSeq lists it as uncharacterized. NCBI's taxonomy places the organism in Eukaryota, Metazoa, Chordata, Actinopteri, Cypriniformes, Cyprinidae. The record is from RefSeq and is a predicted model, not a curated record.